This 505-nucleotide ribosomal RNA is filed under the name uncultured bacterium. Its description in RNAcentral is "partial 16S ribosomal RNA". It matches the Rfam family "Bacterial small subunit ribosomal RNA", at positions 28 to 507 of the family's 1533-position model. The record is from RNAcentral.
GACGAACGCUGGCGGCGUGCCUAAUACAUGCAAGUAGAACGCACAGUUUAUACCGUAGCUUGCUACACCAUAGCCUGUGAGUUGCGAACGGGUGAGUAACGCGUAGGUAACCUGCCUGGUAGCGGGGGAUAACUAUUGGAAACGAUAGCUAAUACCGCAUAAUAUUAAUUAUUGCAUGAUAAUUAAUUGAAAGGUGCAAUUGCACCACUACCAGAUGGACCUGCGUUGUAUUAGCUAGUAGGGGAGGUAACGGCUCACCUAGGCGACGAUACAUAGCCGACCUGAGAGGGUGAUCGGCCACACUGGGACUGAGACACGGCCCAGACUCCUACGGGAGGCAGCAGUAGGGAAUCUUCGGCAAUGGACGAAAGUCUGACCGAGCAACGCCGCGUGAGUGAAGAAGGGUUUCGGAUCGUAAAGCUCUGUUGUAAGAGAAGAACGGGUGUGAGAGUGGAAAGUUCACACUGUGACGGUAUCUUACCAGAAAGGGACGGCUAACUACGUG